RNAcentral lists this long non-coding RNA (202 nucleotides) under Elaeis guineensis (African oil palm). Its description in RNAcentral is "long non-coding RNA (EGUI_LNC082810)". Lineage: Eukaryota; Viridiplantae; Streptophyta; Magnoliopsida; Arecales; Arecaceae. The record is from RNAcentral.
UCCUACAGCGGGCUAUCUACUCCAGAUAUCUUCUGUAAGCAAAUUUCUUUCGAACUUCUGUUACAGGUAGACUCCAGCCGAGCUACUCUGUAGCGAGUGGGCUCUGGACGAACUUCUACAGCGGGACACUACUCCGAGCUUCCACGACAACUGGUCCUCGCCCGAGCUCCUACAAUAAAUGGCCCCCUUUCGACCUCUCACA